RNAcentral lists this ribosomal RNA (485 nucleotides) under uncultured bacterium. Its description in RNAcentral is "bacterial SSU rRNA". It matches the Rfam family "Bacterial small subunit ribosomal RNA", at positions 1 to 526 of the family's 1533-position model. The record is from RNAcentral.
ACUAGCAGUAAGAGUUUGAUCAUGGCUCAGAACGAACGCUGGCGGCAGGCUUAACACAUGCAAGUCGAACGCUGUAGCAAUACAGAGUGGCGCACGGGUGAGUAAUACAUGGGAACGUGCCCUUCAGUCUGGAAUAACCACGGGAAACUGUGGCUAAAACCGGAUAUUCCCUCCGGGGGAAAGUUUACGCUGAAGGAUCGGCCCAUGCCAGAUUAGCUAGUUGGUGGGGUAAUGGCCUACCAAGGCUACGAUCUGUAGCUGGUCUGAGAGGACGACCAGCCACACUGGAACUGAGACACGGUCCAGACACCUACGGGUGGCAGCAGUCGAGAAUUUUUCACAAUGGGCGAAAGCCUGAUGGAGCGACGCCGCGUGGGGGAUGACGGCCUUCGGGUUGUAAACCUCUUUCAGUAGGGACGAAGCGCAAGUGACGGUACCUACAGAAGAAGGACCGGCCAACUACGUGCCAGCCGCCGCGGUAAUUC